CUGGUGCCAGCAGCCGCGGUAAUUCCAGCUCCAAUAGCGUAUAUUAAAGUUGCUGCAGUUAAAAGCUCGUAGUUGAAUUUCGGGACCAAUAUGUCGGUCGUGCUUCGGUACGUACUGUCAUUUAUCGGUUUCUCCCUUCUGAAGAACCUUGAUGUCAUUAAUUUGGUGUCUUGGGGAAUCAGGACUGUUACUUUGAAAAAAUUAGAGUGUUUAAAGCAGGCUCGCGCUUGAAUACAUUAGCAUGGAAUAAUGAAAUAGGACGUUUGAUUCUAUUUUGUUGGUUUCUAGGGAUCGACGUAAUGAUUAAUAGGGAUAGUUGGGGGCAUUAGUAUUCAAUUGUCAGAGGUGAAAUUCUUAGAUUUAUUGAAGACUAACUACUGCGAAAGCAUUUGCCAAGGAUGUUUUCAUUAAUCAAGAACGAAAGUUAGGGGAUCGAAGACGAUCAGAUACCGUCGUAGUCUUAACCAUAAACUAUGCCGACUAGGGAUCGGAUGAUGUUAAUUUUUAAUGACUCAUUCGGCGCCUUACG
This 529-nucleotide ribosomal RNA is filed under the name uncultured Glomus. Its description in RNAcentral is "SSU rRNA". It matches the Rfam family "Eukaryotic small subunit ribosomal RNA", at positions 561 to 1092 of the family's 1831-position model. Lineage: Eukaryota; Fungi; Glomeromycota; Glomeromycetes; Glomerales; Glomeraceae. The record is from RNAcentral.